GCGGCGUGCCUAAUCAUGCAAGUUGAGCGAAUGGAUUGAGAGCUUGCUCUCAAGAAGUUAGCGGCGGACGGGUGAGUAACACGUGGGUAACCUGCCCAUAAGACUGGGAUAACUCCGGGAAACCGGGGCUAAUACCGGAUAACAUUUUGAACUGCAUGGUUCGAAAUUGAAAGGCGGCUUCGGCUGUCACUUAUGGAUGGACCCGCGUCGCAUUAGCUAGUUGGUGAGGUAACGGCUCACCAAGGCAACGAUGCGUAGCCGACCUGAGAGGGUGAUCGGCCACACUGGGACUGAGACACGGCCCAGACUCCUACGGGAGGCAGCAGUAGGGAAUCUUCCGCAAUGGACGAAAGUCUGACGGAGCAACGCCGCGUGAGUGAUGAAGGCUUUCGGGUCGUAAAACUCUGUUGUUAGGGAAGAACAAGUGCUAGUUGAAUAAGCUGGCACCUUGACGGUACCUAACCAGAAAGCCACGGCUAACUACGUGCCAGCAGCCGCGGUAAUACGUAGGUGGCAAGCGUUAUCCGGAAUUAUUGGGCGUAAAGCGCGCGCAGGUGGUUUCUUAAGUCUGAUGUGAAAGCCCACGGCUCAACCGUGGAGGGUCAUUGGAAACUGGGAGACUUGAGUGCAGAAGAGGAAAGUGGAAUUCCAUGUGUAGCGGUGAAAUGCGUAGAGAUAUGGAGGAACACCAGUGGCGAAGGCGACUUUCUGGUCUGUAACUGACACUGAGGCGCGAAAGCGUGGGGAGCAACAGGAUUAGAUACCCUGGUAGUCCCGCCGUAAACGAUGAGUGCUAGUGU
RNAcentral lists this ribosomal RNA (800 nucleotides) under Bacillus thuringiensis. RNAcentral describes it as "bacterial SSU rRNA". It matches the Rfam family "Bacterial small subunit ribosomal RNA", at positions 39 to 822 of the family's 1533-position model. Lineage: Bacteria; Bacillati; Bacillota; Bacilli; Caryophanales; Bacillaceae. The record is from RNAcentral.